UACGUAGGGCGCGAGCGUUGUCCGGAAUCAUUGGGCGUAAAGAGCUCGUAGGCGGCCGGUUGCGUCUGCUGUGAAAUCCCGGGGCUUAACCCCGGGCGUGCAGUGGAUACGGGCUGGCUGGAGGCAGGCAGGGGAGAAUGGAAUUCCCGGUGUAGCGGUGAAAUGCGCAGAUAUCGGGAAGAACACCCGUGGCGAAGGCGGCUCUCUGGGACGGUACUGACGCUGAGACGCGAAAGCGUGGGGAGCGAACAGG
RNAcentral lists this ribosomal RNA (253 nucleotides) under uncultured bacterium. RNAcentral's name for it is "partial 16S ribosomal RNA". It matches the Rfam family "Bacterial small subunit ribosomal RNA", at positions 524 to 776 of the family's 1533-position model. The record is from RNAcentral.